UACAGAGGGGGCAAGCGUUGUUCGGAAUUACUGGGCGUAAAGGGCGCGUAGGCGGCCUGCUAAGUCGAACGUGAAAUCCCUGGGCUCAACCCAGGAACUGCGUCCGAUACUGGUUGGCUUGAAUCCGGGAGAGGGAUGUGGAAUUCCAGGUGUAGCGGUGAAAUGCGUAGAUAUCGGAAGGAACAUCAGUGGCGAAAGCGGCUUCCUGGACCAGCACCGACGUUCAGGCACGAAAGCGUGGGGAGCAAACAGG
Molecule: ribosomal RNA, 253 nt
Filed under: uncultured bacterium
Lineage: Bacteria
Description: partial 16S ribosomal RNA
Rfam family: Bacterial small subunit ribosomal RNA
Source: RNAcentral